This 375-nucleotide ribosomal RNA is filed under the name Triticum aestivum (bread wheat). RNAcentral's name for it is "partial small subunit ribosomal RNA". Lineage: Eukaryota; Viridiplantae; Streptophyta; Magnoliopsida; Poales; Poaceae. The record is from RNAcentral.
AUGGUCUCAGAGGCGCAUAACAACCGUGCGGAGUACGACAAGUCUUUGCAUGAAGCGCGCCGGGAGAUCAACUUGAAGGUGCAAAAGGAUCGCGAUGAGGUAGAUAAGAAACUCAAAAAAGAACGUUCAUACGUGGACAGGAUGAUAAAGGAGGAGCAUGAGGAGUUUUCCCGUCAGAUGGCGAAGAUGCGUCUUGAGAUUGAAGAAAAGUAUAAGCGGGACUGUAAGGACAUGGAAAAAAAAGUUUUUCCUUGGCUACAAGGAAAUGCAUCAAACGUUGCAGAAGGAUCGGAAGCUUGUGGACAGUAUUAUACAGACAGAGCGAGUCAGGAUGGAUGCCUAUGUGUUGCAGGCACGUGCGGAUAUGGACAGUAA